AAGCUCGUAGUUGAAUUUCGGGGUCAGUAGGUUGGUCGUGCCACCGGUACGUACUGGUCUCACUGAUUCCUCCUUCCUGAUGAGCUGUAAUGCCAUUAAUUUGGUGUUGCAGGGAAUCUGGACUGUUACUUUGAAAAAAUUAGAGUGUUUAAAGCAGGCUAACGCUUGAAUACAUUAGCAUGGAAUAAUGAAAUAGGACGUUCGGUCCUAUUUUGUUGGUUUCUAGGAUUGACGUAAUGAUUAAUAGGGAUAGUUGGG
This 258-nucleotide ribosomal RNA is filed under the name uncultured Glomus. Its description in RNAcentral is "partial 18S ribosomal RNA". It matches the Rfam family "Eukaryotic small subunit ribosomal RNA", at positions 624 to 886 of the family's 1831-position model. The record is from RNAcentral. Lineage: Eukaryota; Fungi; Glomeromycota; Glomeromycetes; Glomerales; Glomeraceae.